RNAcentral lists this ribosomal RNA (433 nucleotides) under uncultured bacterium. RNAcentral's name for it is "partial 16S ribosomal RNA". It matches the Rfam family "Bacterial small subunit ribosomal RNA", at positions 29 to 507 of the family's 1533-position model. The record is from RNAcentral.
AACGAACGCUGGCGGCAUGCCUAACACAUGCAAGUCGAACGAGACCUUCGGGUCUAGUGGCGCACGGGUGCGUAACGCGUGGGAACCUGCCCUUAGGUUCGGAAUAACUCCCCGAAAGGUGUGCUAAUACCGGAUAAUGUCUUCGGACCAAAGAUUUAUCGCCUUUGGAUGGGCCCGCGUUGGAUUAGCUAGUUGGUAGGGUAAAAGCCUACCAAGGCGACGAUCCAUAGCUGGUCUGAGAGGAUGAUCAGCCACGCUGGGACUGAGACACGGCCCAGACUCCGACGGGGGGGAGGAGUGGAGAGUAUUGGAGGCUGGGCGCAAGCCGGAUAAAGCCAUGCCGGGGGAGUGAUGAAGGGCUUAGGGUUGUAAAGUUCUUUUACACGGGAUGAUAAUGACAGUACCGGGAGAAUAAGCGCCGGCUAACUCCGUG